UUCACCAUCAGUAGAAUCACCACGAUUCAACUGACAGAGUUCCCUGAGGACUUAACUGAAAUUGGGCUAACUACAAUUGGGAUCGGCCAACUGCAUACUAGGAUCAGAUCCUUCAACUAAGGAAAUGUGGGGGAAAAUCACUGCUAUGGUCAUUGUGAUUCUUGCAUUCGCUGCAAUUGGAGCUACACAAUCAAAUACUCUGGGAACAACAAGACUAACAACAAAUGGAGCAACACAAUCAA
Molecule: long non-coding RNA, 242 nt
Organism: Alosa alosa (allis shad)
Lineage: Eukaryota; Metazoa; Chordata; Actinopteri; Clupeiformes; Clupeidae
Exons: 3
Source: RefSeq, a predicted model, not a curated record